GCGUGGGUGAUGAAGGCCUUCGGGUUGUAAAGCCCUUUCGGCGGGGACGAUGAUGACGGUACCCGCAGAAGAAGCCCCGGCUAACUUCGUGCCAGCAGCCGCGGUAAUACGAAGGGGGCUAGCGUUGUUCGGAAUGACUGGGCGUAAAGGGCGCGUAGGCGGCGAUGUAAGUCAGGCGUGAAAGCCCCGGGCUCAACCUGGGAACGGCGCUUGAUACUGCGUUGCUUGAGGACGGGAGAGGAUGGUGGAAUUCCCAGUGUAGAGGUGAAAUUCGU
This 275-nucleotide ribosomal RNA is filed under the name uncultured bacterium. RNAcentral describes it as "partial 16S ribosomal RNA". It matches the Rfam family "Bacterial small subunit ribosomal RNA", at positions 399 to 691 of the family's 1533-position model. The record is from RNAcentral.